Non-coding RNA from Phoenix dactylifera (date palm), 1794 nucleotides. NCBI's taxonomy places the organism in Eukaryota, Viridiplantae, Streptophyta, Magnoliopsida, Arecales, Arecaceae. The record is from RefSeq and is a predicted model, not a curated record.
UCCCGCUCGGUCCCCUUCUAUCAUCCUCGCCGUAGUCGGGCGGCGAAGCGCCAAUCCAAACGCCGGCGAGUGCUCUCCAAUAAAAUCCUGCUCCUCUCUCUCUCCCCCCUUUCCAACCUUCCCGAAACGACCCAGAGGUACGGUUUCUCGACCUCGUCCUCCUCCCGGACCGACCCAGAAACCCUACCUCGCUCCAAGGACCAUGGCGAAGAACCCGAUCCGUGCGCCGCCAUGGUGGCCGGCGGUGCUCAGAAGACUCACCACCGCAUCGGCGUCGGAGAUGAAGGCGCAGGCGGCUAGGGAGGAGGCGGAAUGGAAGCCGCUGUACCGCCGGCUGUCGGCACUAGGCGGCGCCCCAGAGGGGAGAGUGACGGCGACGCUGGAUCAGUGGGAGAUGGAAGGGUGGAGGAUGACGGCACUCCAGCUUAUGAAGCACAUCCGCGAACUCCGCAAGUACCGCCGCCACGAGCACGCCCUCGAGAUGAUGCAUUGGAUGGAAAAGAGAAGUAUGGAAAUGCCAAAUGGCUACCAUGCAGUACGCUUAGAUCUUAUAUCAAAAGUCAAGGGAGUAAGAUCUGCAGAGGAGUAUUUUUCAAAUCUCCCAGAACCUGCCAAGAACCAGCGAACCUAUGGAGCUCUUUUCAACUGUUACUGUUCAGGAAAAAUGACGGACAGGGCCGUUGCCCUCUUGGAGAAAAUGAAGGAACUGAAGUUUGCUUCUAAUGUUCUCAUCUAUAACAACCUAAUGAGUCUUUAUAUGAAGUUAGGCCAGCUGGAAAUGGUCCCAAUCUUAUUCCAAGAAAUGAAGGCGAGUAAUGUCCUGCCAGAUAGUUGCACAUAUAGGAUCAUAAUGAAAAGCUAUGCCUCAGUGAGUGACAUGGUCUCUGUUGAGAGAGUUACACAGGAAAUGGAGGAAAGUCGAGGUGCCUCAGAUUGUCUUACAUAUUGUCAUCUGGCUUCACUCUAUAAUUCAGUUGGCCUUUUUGAGAAAGCUGAGACUGCCCUCAAGAAGGCUGAAUUAGUCUUGGGCAGCCACGAGUUGUCACCAUUCCGUUUGCUUAUAAGCUCAUAUGCUGCCGCUGGUAAUCUAUCAGAGGUCAGCAGGGUCUGGAAUUCGUUUAAAGCUAGGGUUCCAAGGCCUACUAACACGAACUAUCUCAUCAUGCUUCAGGCUCUUAGAAAACUAGAUGAUAUGGAUGGACUGAAGCGAUGCUUUGAGGAGUGGGAAUCUGGCUGUGUGAACUAUGAUAUAAGGCUGGUGAACACAGUCAUAGAAGCAUACUUAAGAAAGGGUAUGGUGGAUGAAGCCAAACUGCUCCAGGAAAAGGCUGACCAGAAGGGUGAAUGGUCUGAUGUGCACACUUUUGUGCUGUUUAUAGAUCAUUAUUUGAAGAGUCGUGAACUAGAGUUGGCUCGGAAAUGUUCAAAGCUUGCAAAUUCUAUUGUGAAGAAAGGGUGGUUGAAAACUGUGGAAACAGAUGAUGUUUCCUGAAUUGUAGGAAAGCAUGUGGCUCAGAAAUGUUUUCUUUUUUUUAAUAUGAGGCAUCCACAAUAUUCAAGUUGGUGAGUUUGAUCUAUGUGAUGGGGCCAUUUGAUGUUUGGCGCGUGGGAUCUGGUUGGCGCUCUAGCUUAUAAUGUAUCAUUGAUCUGCUGUUUGUAAGGGUUGUGAACCGGCUAGCAAAAGCAGCUAAUGCCAGCCUGAUCUUAACUCUUUUGAUGGCUUGAAGUUCUGGCUUAAUGUAUGACCUAAUCCAGUCCUGGAGCAAUUCCAUGAAUUCUAGCAUGUCUACACUA